RNAcentral lists this ribosomal RNA (797 nucleotides) under uncultured bacterium. Its description in RNAcentral is "bacterial SSU rRNA". It matches the Rfam family "Bacterial small subunit ribosomal RNA", at positions 8 to 796 of the family's 1533-position model. The record is from RNAcentral.
AGAGUUUGAUCCUGGCUCAGGAUGAACGCUGGCGGCGUGCUUAACACAUGCAAGUCGAACGAUUAAAGCCCCUUCGGGGGUGUAUAGAGUGGCGAACGGGUGAGUAACACGUGGGCAAUCUGCCCCUCACUUCGGGAUAACUCAAGGAAACUUGAGCUAAUACCGGAUACUCCGGACUGAUCGCAUGGUCGGUCCGGGAAAGCUCCGACGGUGAGGGAUGAGCCCGCGGCCCAUUAGCUUGUUGGUGGGGUAAUGGCCCACCAAGGCGACGAUGGGUAGCCGAGCUGAGAGGCUGAUCCGCCACACUGGAACUGGAACACGGACCAGACUCCUACGGGAGGCAGCAGUGAGGAAUAUUGCGCAAUGGGGGCAACCCUGACGCAGCGACGCCGCGUGGAUGAUGAAGGCCUUCGGGUCGUAAAAUCCUGUCAGAUGGAAAGAAGUGUUAUGUGGUUAAUACCCAUGUAGCUUGACGGUACCAUCGAAGGAAGCACCGGCUAACUCCGUGCCAGCAGCCGCGGUAAUACGGAGGGUGCAAGCGUUGUUCGGAAUUACUGGGCGUAAAGCGCGCGUAGGCGGUUUUAUAAGUCAGAUGUGAAAGCCCAUGGCUUAACCAUGGACGUGCAUUUGAAACUGUGAGACUUGAGUAUUGGAGGGGGUGGUGGAAUUCCCGGUGUAGAGGUGAAAUUCGUAGAUAUCGGGAGGAAUACCAGUGGCGAAGGCGACCACCUGGCCAAAUACUGACGCUCAUGUGCGAAAGCGUGGGGAGCAAACAGGAUUAGAUACCCUGGUAGUCC